GAAAUGCGAUAAGUAAUGUGAAUUGCAGAAUUCCGUGAAUCAUCGAAUCUUUGAACGCACAUUACGCCCUCUGGCAUUCCGGGGGGCAUGCCUGUCCGAGCGUCAUUACGCACCCUCAAGCCCGGCUUGUGUGAUGGGCCCCGGCGUCUCGUUCGCGAGACGGGCCCGAAAGGCAGCGGCGGCGUCGACCCGAUGAGCCCGAGCGUAUGGGGACUUCUGUCACACGUUCGCGGUGCGGACCGGCGCCUGCUUGACUUUUCUGAUUAUCCAGGUUGACCUCGGAUCAGGUAGGGAUACCCGCUGAACUUAAGC
RNAcentral lists this unclassified non-coding RNA (312 nucleotides) under plant metagenome. RNAcentral describes it as "partial contains 5.8S ribosomal RNA, internal transcribed spacer 2, and large subunit ribosomal RNA". The stretch from base 1 to 105 matches the Rfam family "5.8S ribosomal RNA", at positions 50 to 154 of the family's 154-position model. The record is from RNAcentral.